GAUGAACGCUGGCGGCGUGCCUAAUACAUGCAAGUCGAGCGAACAGGUAAGGAGCUUGCUCCUUUGACGUUAGCGGCGGACGGGUGAGUAACACGUGGGUAACCUACCUAUAAGACUGGAAUAACUCCGGGAAACCGGGGCUAAUGCCGGAUAACAUUUAGAACCGCAUGGUUCUAAAGUGAAAGAUGGUUUUGCUAUCACUUAUAGAUGGACCCGCGCCGUAUUAGCUAGUUGGUAAGGUAACGGCUUACCAAGGCAACGAUACGUAGCCGACCUGAGAGGGUGAUCGGCCACACUGGAACUGAGACACGGUCCAGACUCCUACGGGAGGCAGCAGUAGGGAAUCUUCCGCAAUGGGCGAAAGCCUGACGGAGCAACGCCGCGUGAGUGAUGAAGGUCUUCGGAUCGUAAAACUCUGUUAUUAGGGAAGAACAAAUGUGUAAGUAACUGUGCACGUCUUGACGGUACCUAAUCAGAAAGCCACGGCUAACUACGUG
RNAcentral lists this ribosomal RNA (497 nucleotides) under uncultured bacterium. RNAcentral's name for it is "partial 16S ribosomal RNA". It matches the Rfam family "Bacterial small subunit ribosomal RNA", at positions 28 to 507 of the family's 1533-position model. The record is from RNAcentral.